GACUGCGNCCGAUCAGNUNNUGNUGGGGUNACNGCCUACCANGCCNAUNACCGGUACGGGCCCUGAGAGGGGGAGCCNGGAGAUGGNNACUGAGACNAGGUCCCAGGUCCUACGGGGCGCAGCAGGCGCGAAAACUCCACAAUGCGCGAAUGCGUGAUGGGGUUAUCCCGAGUGCCGUCCGAUGAGGAUGGCUUUUCUUUAGUUUAAGGAUCUAGAGGAAUAAAGGGGGGGCAAGACUGGUGUCAGCCGCCGCGGUAAUACCAGCCCCCUGAGUGGUAGGGACGAUUAUUUGGCCUAAAGCGUCCGUAGCCGGCUUAGUUAGUCUUUCGUCAAAUCCGACGAUUCCAUCGUUGGCCCGCGGAAGAUACUGCUAGGCUUGAGGACGGGAGAGGUCGACGGUAGUCCCAGGGUAGGGGUGAAAUCCUAUAAUCCUGGGAGGACCACCAGUGGCGAAGGCGGUCGACUAGAACGUGCCUGACGGUGAUGGACGAAAGCUGGGGGAGCGAACCGGAUUAGACACCCGGGUAGUCCCAGCUGUAAACGAUGCGAGCUAGGUGUUGGAGCAACUACGGGUUGCUCCAGUGCCGCAGAGAAGUUGUUAAGCUCGCCGCCUGGGAAGUACGGCCGCAAGGCUGAAACUUAAAGGAAUUGGCGGGGGAGCAC
Molecule: ribosomal RNA, 663 nt
Filed under: uncultured archaeon
Lineage: Archaea
Description: partial 16S rRNA
Rfam family: Archaeal small subunit ribosomal RNA
Source: RNAcentral